AAAAACCGAAUCUAGAAUCGGAUGUGACAUAUUCUAGUACUGUAAAUAUAAAUGUAAAUAUGAAUAGAGGUAUGUCCAGAUUUAUAGUAGUAGGAUUAGUCACAUCUGGUAUUAGAUUGGUUUUUUACCA
RNAcentral lists this unclassified non-coding RNA (130 nucleotides) under Oryza sativa (Asian cultivated rice). Its description in RNAcentral is "partial microRNA MIR468n-42 precursor". Lineage: Eukaryota; Viridiplantae; Streptophyta; Magnoliopsida; Poales; Poaceae. The record is from RNAcentral.